Molecule: ribosomal RNA, 391 nt
Filed under: uncultured bacterium
Lineage: Bacteria
Description: partial 16S ribosomal RNA
Rfam family: Bacterial small subunit ribosomal RNA
Source: RNAcentral
AUACGUAGGGGGCGAGCGUUGUCCGGAAUGAUUGGGCGUAAAGGGCGCGUAGGCGGCCUGUUAAGUCUGGAGUGAAAGUCCUGUUUUCAAGAUGGGAAUUGCUUUGGAUACUGAUGGGCUUGAGUGCAGGAGAGGUUAUCGGAAUUCCCGGUGUAGCGGUGAAAUGCGUAGAUAUCGGGAAGAACACCGGUAGCGUAAGCGGCUUCCGUAUCCGUUACUGGCGCUGAGGCGCGAAAGUGUGGGGAGCAAACAGGAUUAGAUACCCUGGUAGUCCACACUGUAAACGAUGGGCACUAGAUGUUGGAUCGCAAGGUUCAGCGUCGCAGCUAACGCAUUAAGUGCCCCACCUGGGAAGUACGGCCGCAAGGUUGAAACUUAAAGGAAUUGACGG